This is an RNA transcript of Lycium ferocissimum, 2978 nucleotides long. RefSeq lists it as uncharacterized. The transcript is spliced from 3 exons. Lineage: Eukaryota; Viridiplantae; Streptophyta; Magnoliopsida; Solanales; Solanaceae. The record is from RefSeq and is a predicted model, not a curated record.
UUGUGUUUGUUUAGUGUUACUUAUGUAAUUUGCUCGAUUUUCACAUCAAUGAAAUUGUUUGGUAUCAUUCUCAUCCUUCUCUUUUCAAUUUUGGAUCAGAGUAAGUUUUUAUUGAAUGUGAAUUCUAGUGAUUUUCUACAAUGGUCUAGGAUUGUUUCCAUUUAUCGAUUUUCACAUCAAUGAAAGAGGAAGUCUAUUAGUGCCUCUUUGUCUUUUCCUUGUAUGAAGACAGUAUACACUGGUCAUACAUAUUGCUAACACAUGAUAUUGUGAUAUUGUGUAGAUUCAGAGUUCAGGUAGAUAAUUACUAUCAUAAAGAUGCUUGCUAUUCUUAUUUUUCAUUUAGAUAUUGUGAUGUUACUUUAACUUCAAGUUGAAUAUUACGUCUUCCUUUCUAGCCAUGCCAAUCGAUGAAUCUUGGAUUAACAAACCACAAAACACUCCUGAAUAUGAAGAUGGGCUAAAAAAGUUUUUGGAUUUUGCUUUUGAGCAUGGGUCUAUUGGUGGGCGUGUAAUUAAAUGCCCGUGUUCGAGAUGUGGUUUUAACAAGUGGCAAAUAAGAGGUGUAGUUGAAGAGCACUCGACUUUUAAGCCUUUUCCUAAAAAUUAUAGAUUCUGGUAUAUGCAUGGUGAAGAUUCAAAUGCGACUAUGCCAAAAACAUCUCAGAACACGCGUGUAAUGAAAGAUACUUUGCGGCCCCGGAGUCUAAUGGAAACCAUGAUUAAUUAUGCAUUUGGGUUCACUGGGAACAAUGUCAAUGAGACCGAUAUGUCUAGUGAGCCUAUAAAUAGAGACGAAAUACUUAAUGAAGAGCGUAUUGAAGGGCAUAAUGAAGAUUAUGCAAAGUUCUAUGAGAUGAUCGAAGGUGGCAAGCAACCAUUAUACGAAGGGUGUACGAAGUAUUCCAAAUUGUCCUUUCUAAUCAAAUUGUAUCACAUAAAGUGUCUGUGCCGAAUGACUAACAAAGCGAUGAGUAUGAUAUUAGAUUUAUUAAAAGAUGCCUUUGACGAUGCCAAGAUUCCUGUUUCCUUUUAUGAGGCCAAGAAAACCAUCAACAAACUUGGUCUUAAUUAUACCAAGAUACAUGCUUGCCCAAAUGAUUGUAUGUCAAAUUUUGGGGAAGACAAUGAAGGCUUGCAAGAAUGCAAAAAUUGCAAGACAUCUAGGUGGAAGGAUAAUAAAAAGAAACAGCCUGCAAAGAUUUUGCGCUACUUCCCACUAAAGCCGAGGCUGCAAAGAUUGUUCAUGUGCUCUAAAACUGUCGAGUCCAUGAGAUGGCAUUCUUUAGAGGGUAACCAAGAUGGAUUGAUGAGGCAUCCCAGGGAUUCUCAGGCUUGGAAAACAUUUGACUUACUUCAUCCUGAAUUUGCAAUAGAUCCUCGGAAUGUACGACUAGGCCUAGCUAGUGACGGUUUUAAUUCUUUUGGAGCAAUCAACAAAUUAUAGUAUUUGGCCGGUGGUUCUUAUUCCAUACAACGGUCCUCCUUGGGAGUGCAUGAAACAAACUUCUUUCAUUCCAGGAAAACAAAUGCCAGGCAAUGACAUAGACGUGUACUUACAACCUCUUAUCCAAGAGUUGAGGGAAUUGUGGUACGAUGGAGUGUAAACAUUAGAUUCUUCAAGGAAUGAAAUAUUUAAAAAUGCGAGCAGCUUUGAUGUGGACAAUUAGCGAUUUUCCUAGGCUUGGUAACUUAUCUGGAUGGAACACACACACUCAGUUUGCUUGCCCGACAUGUAACUUUGCUACAGACUCUUACAGGUUGAAGCAUAGUAGAAAGUGGUGUUUCAUGGGUCAUCGUCAUUUUUUUGAAAGAGGCAAUCAGUUUAGAUUGCAACGUGUUCGUUUUAAUGGGAAAAUCGAUCAACGGGAGCCACCGAUUACAUUAUCAGGGUCAGACAUCUUGAAACAAAUGGAGGGCAUUAAUAAAUUUUGGAAAAGUACCCGAGUCAAAUGAUAAAGGUAAAAGAACUCGAGUAAAAGAUGUUGUUGAAGAAGGACCGAGACAAUGGAGAAAGAGAAGCAUAUUUUUUGAUCUUCCUUAUUGGGAAUCUAACUUGUUGCGUCAUAAUCUAGACAUUAUGCACAUUGAGAAGAAUGUGUGUUAGAAUGUGAUAUACACUUUGCUCAAUGCUUCUGAAAAAUCCAAAGACAAUUCUAAAGCUAGGAAGGAUCUUAGAGAAAUGGGUAUAAGGAAAGAACUCUGGGAAGAUGAGAAUGGAAAUUAUCAUCCAUCUUUGUUUUGUUUUUGAUACACUUCAAGUAAUAAAAAUGGUUAGACUGAAGGUUAAGGAUGUUCAUAACUUGGACGAUGGAUUGCGUAUAAUAGUGGAGUUUGAUGAGUAUGCAUCAACUAUUGGAAAAUCAGCUGGUUUAAUUGCCCAAGUCUUAGGGGACCUUGCUGCAAAUCCUCUGUACUUCCCUAUCGCCUUUGACAAAUGGCCAGCCAUGCCCAAGCCUUUUUUGGAUCGUGUUAUUAAUGAAAUCCUAAUGGUACUUGUCUUUUAUUUUAUUUAGUUUGCAUAUUUUAGUUAUUUAUGUAAAACUGCAAUAAAAACAUAUUUUAUUUCUGUGCAGCCUCGAUUUCUCUUUAGGAUUGAUCAAGAAGAGGCAAAAAUAUGGAUCAACAAUAAUCUUAGCCAAAAAUGGAGGGAGCACAGGGGUAAACUAUUUCGUCAUGCUGAAGAUCCAUUACUGAGUAAAGAAGAAAUCAUCAGGAAAUGUCUAGAAGACAUACCCAUGGACCAGUGGGCACUGUUUGUUAAUUAUCGCAGAAACCCGAAAACACAGGAGCUUUGUAGGAAGAAUCAACAGAGUCGACAAAACCAAAUUCCUCAUACUGGUGGUGCUAAGAGUUUGGCUAGAAGAAGGGCCGAAAUGAAGGCAAAGGGAAAAGCUGUUAAUCGAGGCCAAAUGUGGAUGGAGACUCAUAAGAGAAAAGAUGGGAGUUAUGUAUCUGAUGAGGCUAGGGUGAUUGGG